Molecule: long non-coding RNA, 1542 nt
Filed under: Oryza sativa Indica Group (long-grained rice)
Lineage: Eukaryota; Viridiplantae; Streptophyta; Magnoliopsida; Poales; Poaceae
Description: lncRNA OsZS97_11G022950
Source: RNAcentral
GUACGCAAAGAGAAUAUUAUUUCCCAGGAAAAGGUGCUCCAAGCAUUUGAUAAUGCCCUUCAGAAGCAUCUUAAUCCAAUUCAUCGAUCCCUUGAAUCCCUUACCGGACGAAUUGAUACUCUGACUCAUGAAGUGGGACAGAUCAAACAAUCAAACCCUAACCAUCAUGCGAAUGAGCAUUACAGAUCAGAAGCAAAUCAAGAUGCUGCUGGAUUUGCUCAUUAUGGGGAAGCUGUUGAGUUGAGAUUCCUCAAUAAGUUGAAGCCUCGUCUUUAUUAUACACAGGAAAAAAUUACAGCAGAGGAUGGCACGGCUAUCCAAAUUGCCUUAUUUAAGGAUAACCAGAUAGUUAAAUCCGGUCCACUUUCUUCUGCAAGAAUUGAAUUUGUGGCUCUUGAAGGUGACUUUAAUGAUGUUGCCCCUGAAAAUUGGACCGAGUAUAUGUUCAAUCAGAACAUAGCAAGAUCCCCAAAAGGGCCUGUGUUAGGAGGAGUUUGUCAAAUCAAGCUGAAGAAUGGGGAGGCCUCUCCUUCUGGCAUCUCUUUCGUUGUACCAUCUUCAAAGAGUAGAAGCGGAAUGUUCAUUCUGGCAGCAAGAGUUCAUAGCAGUGACAAAGCCGGGUUCCGGAUUAUGGAAGCCUUGAUGAAUCCUGUUGAGGUGCAGGUUUACCGAAACAAAGCAAAUAAAAAUAGUGACACUCCAAAAUUGAAAGAUGACGUAUACCAUUUAAAGGGAAUUUCAAAAAAGGGAACUCGCUUCGAUUGGCUUAAACAUAAUGGGAUCAACACUGUGGAGGAUAUGUUGAAGGCUUUAAAUAAGAACGAAAAGAAGAUUCGCACUGAGUGCUUCAAGCUAAACAAGAGCAGCAAGGAUUGGAAAGAAAUAGUUAAACAUGCUAGAAAGUGUGAUCUCGAAGGCAAUUGCAACCUGAAAUCAUAUAGAGUUGAAGAGAAACAUGUUGUACUAUUCUUUAACUGCGUACAUGAUCUCGUUGGAGCACAAUUUCAUGAUGGCUAUGUUACAAAGGACAAUUUCAAUUCAGAUCAGCAGGAUGCCGUGAAUUGUUUGAAAAAACAAGCGUAUGAUGCUCUGGAUGACAUUGCCUUCGAUGACAAAAUGAAAGACAACUAUCCAGUAUCUUUGUCUUCAGCUAUGAACACAAGCAUUACUGAUGGUGAUGCUUCCAUUCCCUUAACAGACAGAGCAGGAACAAAUUAUCCAGACCUCCAUGUUACAUCUCAAGUUGGGAAUUCUCAUCAUGCUGAGAUUUAUCAAGAACCUGAACUGCUUCAAGCAUUGCUGAACUAUAAUAGUGCCUGUGAGAUUGAACCAAGUAUGAUGAAGGUUAUCGAGCAGGUGCUGUGGCUCAGAUCUUCGGUGGAUUUUCUGAAGUUGACAUCCCUAUUGGGUGCUAUACUGGGUACUUCUUCUGGAGGCAAUGCCUUGAUCGGACUGAUGAAUAUGUCACAGAAUGGCAGCGAUGGCAGCAAUAUUGCAGAACUGAUUGACAACGACAUUGAUCCUUAUCAGUACAUCAUUUAA